This 1390-nucleotide ribosomal RNA is filed under the name uncultured organism. Its description in RNAcentral is "16S ribosomal RNA". It matches the Rfam family "Bacterial small subunit ribosomal RNA". The record is from RNAcentral.
CGUGCCUAAUACAUGCAAGUCGAACGAGGAGCCUCAGCAUUUGUAUUCGUACAUUUGCAGGGGAUCCCUAGUGGCGAACGGGUGAGUAACGCGUUGGUGACCUAGGCCCGAGGAGAAGGGGAUAACUCCGGGAAACUGGAGCUAAUACCCUAUGUGAUCACGAUGAUUAGAAACUCGUGAUUAAAAGGAACUUUGUUUCGCUUUGGGAUGGGCCUGCGUCCCAUCAGCUUGUUGGUAGGGUAAUGGCCUACCAAGGCUUACGGGUAGGGGACCUGAGAGGGUGGCCCCCCACACUGGAACUGAAACACGGUCCAGACACCUACGGGUGGCAGCAGUAGGGAAUAUUGCGCAAUGGACGAAAGUCUGACGCAGCAACGCCGCGUGUGCGAUGAAGGCCUUCGGGUUGUAAAGCACUUUUCUGAGGGAAGAGAAAGGACUGUACCUCAGGAAUAAGUCUCGGCUAACUACGUGCCAGCAGCCGCGGUAACACGUAGGAGGCAAGCGUUAUCCGGAUUUACUGGGCAUAAAGAGCGUGUAGGUGGUUCGGCAAGUCGGAUGUGAAAGCUCCUGGCUCAACUGGGAGAUGUUAUUCGAAACUGCCGGGCUAGAGGACGAUAGAGGAAGAUGGAAUUCCCGGUGUAGUAGUGAAAUGCGUAGAUAUCGGGAGGAACACCAACGGCGAAGGCAGUCUUCUGGGUCGUUCCUGACACUGAGACGCGAAAGCAUGGGUAGCGAACGGGAUUAGAAACCCCGGUAGUCCAUGCCGUAAACGAUGCGAACUAGACGUUGGUAACGUAAAAGUUAUCGGUGUCGCAGCUAAUGCGAUAAGUUCGCCGCCUGGGGAUUACGACCGCAAGGUUAAAACUCAAAGGAAUUGACGGGUUCCCGCACAAGCAGAGGAGCGUGUGGUUUAAUUCGAUGCUACACGAAGAACCUUACCUGGGUUUGACAUAUAGGUGGUAGAGAACCGAAAGGUAAUCGACCCUUCGGGGAGCCUAUACAGGUGCUGCAUGGCUGUCGUCAGCUCGUGCCGUGAGGUGUCCGGUUAAGUCCGGUAACGAGCGCAACCCUUGCCGUAUGUUAUAAGUGUCAUACGGGACUGCCGAUAUAAAAUCGGGGGAAGGAGGGGAUGACGUCAAGUCAGCAUGGCCUUUAUAUCCAGGGCUACACACACGCUGCAAUGGCCGGUACAAUAGGUCGCAAAACCGCGAGGUGGAGCCAAUCCUAAAAGCCGGUCUCAGUUCGGAUUGGAGGCUGCAACCCGCCCCCAUGAAGUCGGAUUUGCUAGUAAACGCGCGUCAGCAAUAGUGCGUUGAUACGUUCCCGGGAUUGUACACACCGCCCGUCACGUCAUGGAAGCUGGCUACACCUGAAGUCGGUAUUCUAACCC